AGUCAUCUGUGGUGUUCGUAAGUUUGCUUUUUAUUUGGGCCUAACACUCUUUGAUCAGGGAGCCCAAUAGGUUUUCUCGCAGCGCACACGCGCCUCUAUAGGAGGACUUGCAAAACGAGAAACAGGGCACCCACCUGUAUAUAGCAGGCCGAAUGAUCAAGCUAUUUAUAACUACGGCAUCAACGGACUCUAU
Molecule: non-coding RNA, 193 nt
Filed under: Staphylococcus epidermidis
Lineage: Bacteria; Bacillati; Bacillota; Bacilli; Caryophanales; Staphylococcaceae
Description: 6S RNA
Rfam family: 6S / SsrS RNA
About the family: E. coli 6S RNA was the first non coding RNA to be sequenced, but its function was unknown until recently.
Source: RNAcentral